RNAcentral lists this small nucleolar RNA (107 nucleotides) under Gossypium arboreum. RNAcentral describes it as "Plant small nucleolar RNA R71". It matches the Rfam family "Plant small nucleolar RNA R71". From Rfam's summary of the family: R71 is a member of the C/D box family of snoRNAs containing the C (UGAUGA) and D (CUGA) box motifs. Multiple nearly identical copies of this snoRNA have been identified in Arabidopsis, and it is thought to function as a 2'-O-ribose methylation guide for 18S ribosomal RNA. The record is from Rfam by way of RNAcentral. Lineage: Eukaryota; Viridiplantae; Streptophyta; Magnoliopsida; Malvales; Malvaceae.
AACCCAUGGUGAGGGCACCUUCACAAUAAAUCUUUGUAUCUCUCCCAUGCAUCAUAAAGUCUUUCUAAAUCUAUCUGCUCAAGAGAAGAGAUAUCAUUCCUUAACUU